Papaver somniferum (opium poppy) is the source of this 2985-nucleotide long non-coding RNA. RefSeq lists it as uncharacterized. The transcript has 3 exons. The record is from RefSeq and is a predicted model, not a curated record. NCBI's taxonomy places the organism in Eukaryota, Viridiplantae, Streptophyta, Magnoliopsida, Ranunculales, Papaveraceae.
UCUUUCUUCAGUUUCUUCUCUUCUCCUGUUCAUGUUCUUUUUUUUUCUGCGAGAGAUUUAUCGAUUCUUUCUUCUCUGCGAGGGAGAUGAUGAGGCUGUGAAUCGUAAAGGAGAACAAGUAGAGAUUGUUAGGGUUCAUGUUUGAACUGAUGAAUCUGUAAAGAAGAUAACAAAUUAGGGUUUAUAGAUUGGUUAUUGUUCUGAAGAUUUAGAAGAUGAAUAUGGAGCUAUGAUUAGAUUGAAAACAAUGGGUAGAUGUUUAAAUGAAAUAUUGAAGUUGUUUCGGUGAUGGAUUGAAGGAAUCAGAGGUUAGGGUUUUGAGAUUAAUUUCGAGGUCAGUGGAAAAUUGAUGGGUUAAUCGGGAUGUUGGUGGAUGAUGAUUAGGAGGGUCGAUGUCAAUUGAAGCUGUAGAGUUGUUCUGGUGAUAGAAUUGAAGAACUAGGGUUCUGCUAUGAUUGAACCAGUUGUAGUUUUAAAAGAGGGGUUUGAUUUGAAAGAUACAAAUUGAGUUAGAGAUGGGUUUUGUGUUAAUUUAUCAUUUGUAGUUGUUGUUGAUGAAGAAUCAGUGAAUUAGGGUUAUGUUCUGUUUUUUCCCAAAAUAUAAAUUAAGGAUUUUGGUAGAAGUUGAACAGAACUGGUGGGUGGUUGUUGUCUUAAGAAGAAUUGGUGGAUCAAGUAAAGUGAAUAAGAAACUGAAUUCAAUUGCAUGAGAAACACUGUUUUGAGGUAAUUAUCUAUCCUGGUUACUUGGGCAGAGUUAUCCAUAUUCAGUUUUGUGUAUUUGAUGGUUGAUGGAAACUGUGGUUGUAUAUUAAGUUUGUAAUUGAGUUACAAGAUAUGUUUGUGUUAGUGUGAAAUGAGAAUGAAAUUUGCUUUUGAACCGAGUUGAAGGUGGAAUGGGAUGGUGAUGUUGUAUGUGUAGUUGGAUUAGAAGGUGGAGAAGAGAAUGUUGUUUAAUCUGUGACAUGUGACAGGUGAAAGGUUAAUGGUAAUGUUUGUGUAAUGGAGUUGGUGGUGGCUCUGUAGAUGUCGGUAAUACUUAGGGGUUUGUGAUGUUGUUACAGAUGUUGUGGUUGCAAUGAAUUGCAGGCCUGAAGGUGGUAAUGUUGCAUAGUCAGUUUUGUAAAGACCCUCAAGCUCGUCAACGCUAUUAGACCAGUCAAAUGAUGAAUUAGCCGAUAAUAUCUCGAUUAGUUUAAGACGAACAUUAAUUAAAAGGAAUUAAUCUAACAAUUAUUUAGAUACGAAAUUAGUACCGUUGAAUAGAUCUCGAAAAGCUAUGUGAGAUGGACUACUCGAACGUGUCAUUCGGAUACCGGAUGAAAAAGAUAUCAUUGAUUUAGUAUGAAUGGUAAAAUUAUCAUUUCAUGGAAAUCAAGUGCGUCUUAGUGUUUCCUCUGGGACUUAUCUCCUCGAACCGAUUGAAGAGAAUCAGUUUUCUCUUAUGCUUUCUUCUUUCUUCUUUUCUUUUUCUUUCUCCGUUCUUCUUCUCUUUCCUUCUUCUCAUGUUCUUCUUUUCUCUACGUGUGAUUGAGAGUUGGCUUGAGAGAGAGACGGUCGAUGAAUUAGAAGAUGUUGAUGAUGAGAUGAGAGUGGUGUUGAUGUUGAUUAACUCUGAAGAAGAAGAAGAUUAAGUUGCUGAUGUAGAUCGAAGUUAGGGUUUCGAUUUAGGUUCAAGAUAUGAAUGAAUUGAUUAAUUGAAGAAGGAUUUGGGUAGUUGGUGAUGAAUAACAAAGGGGUUUGGUGUUCUUGUGAAGUUCUGAAGCUGAUUCAAUGAUGAAUUGAAAAGUUAGAGUUUCUACAAGAAUUCAAAGAUGAAUUAGAAGAUGAAAUUGAUGUUUUAAGAAAGGGAUUUGAGAUGGGUAUUGAUCGAUUGGAUGAAUUAAGGUUAGAGUUGAGGAGUAAUUCGAGUUUGAUGAAGUUAGGGCUUUGGAGUCGUUUUUGAAACUAGGGUCUCUCAGUAGUUUGGUUUUAAGUUUGAAUGGGCGAUGAACAAAAAGAAUUAAGGACUGGAUUUGAAUAAUUGAGGAAAGGGUUGGAGCUAAUUAGAUUUUGUGGAGCUGUUUUGAGGUUGAUGAAUUGAAUCAGGUGGAGAAGAACCUGAAUUCAAUUGCCUGAGCAUUCCUGAAUUGAGGUAAUUGUUCUUCUAUGUGAUUUUGGAUAAUUUAUUCAUUUCAAUUGUUGAAAUUAUGAAAUGGUUGGUAAGUAUGAAUUGGACUGAGAUUGAUAAGGGUAUGAUUUUGGAAGUGAACUGGUGCUAUUAGGAGUUAAAGGAAAAAAAAAUAAUGAUGCUGGAAUUGUUGUUAAUAUGGAUUAUAAGGAGGAUUUAUGAUUGAUUGUUAGAACUGCUAUUGAGAUGAAAUAUAUGAGAUGUUGUUGUUGAAAUCAUGAUGGUAGAGAAUGUAUGAGCUGUGUAGGGGAAUGGAUAUGAUGGGUAUGUGCAUAAGCUGGAGAUGGUUGAAAUUAUGAUUUGGUGGUGAUGAUGGUGUCGCUGUUCAUGGAGAAAUGGUGGAAAUGAAGUUGCAGGGCUGUUGCUUAAUUCAAGGAGUUGCAGAUUAUUUUGUAAUGCAAUCUGAGUUGCAGUUGUUGAAGUCUAAUUGUGCAGGUGAACUUCUUGUAAGAAGGUUGUGUAUAGAGUAAGUUGAUAUGUAUGGUGUUACAGAAAUUAAGGUAGUGAUUUUGAAAGUGUUGAGAUAGAGUUGAAGAGUGAUCUUAGGCCUGAGAUGUGUAUCAAGUAUUGGUGGAUGUAAAGAUUAUCUUGUAGCUUCAGUGAGGCUUGCAAUUGAUGUAGCAGUUAGUCUAUUAACAACAAUCGAUUCAAUGGAUGAACCAGUGGCUCGUGGAUCUCGAGGUAGGCGUGGUUUGUCAUCAAAAGAGAGAUAUAUCAGAGUUGCGCAGCGAAAGCUUCAAGGGUCGAGUUCGCUAGUUGUUUAACUUCUGCUAUGUUUAUUAUGUUGCAUAUUAUAUUUGUAAAUCAAAUGACUA